AUGAGGCAGGUAGAUGGGGCGCCAACCUUUGGCACACCAUCUAGGGUUUUUCAUGCAAAAGAGGGGGUGUGCCCCCUCUCUCUCUCUCUUUCCAUGCCAAACCAAGAGGAGUGGAUGGGCCCCUCACUCUUCCUCAUUCUAUUCCAAGGGGUUGGCACCCUUUGGACCUUCCAAAAAGGGAGGAUGGCGCCAUCACAUGUUUCCAUCAAUUC
This 212-nucleotide long non-coding RNA is filed under the name Elaeis guineensis (African oil palm). RNAcentral describes it as "long non-coding RNA (EGUI_LNC065707)". Lineage: Eukaryota; Viridiplantae; Streptophyta; Magnoliopsida; Arecales; Arecaceae. The record is from RNAcentral.